RNAcentral lists this ribosomal RNA (217 nucleotides) under uncultured Planctomycetales bacterium. RNAcentral describes it as "partial 16S ribosomal RNA". It matches the Rfam family "Bacterial small subunit ribosomal RNA", at positions 449 to 667 of the family's 1533-position model. The record is from RNAcentral. Lineage: Bacteria; Pseudomonadati; Planctomycetota; Planctomycetia; Planctomycetales.
UCCUAAUAUCGGGUCUAUUUGACAAAGGCUCCAAAGGAAGCCACGGCUCACUCUGUGCCAGCAGCCGCGGUAAUACAGAGGUGGCAAGCGUUGUUCGGAAUUAUUGGGCGUAAAGAGCACGUAGGUGGAUUUGUAAGUCAGAUGUGAAAGCCUUCUGUUCAACGGGAGAAUUGCAUCUGAAACUACAGACCUUGAGUAUAGGAGGGGAGAGUGGAAC